RNAcentral lists this ribosomal RNA (1234 nucleotides) under metagenome. RNAcentral describes it as "bacterial LSU rRNA". It matches the Rfam family "Bacterial large subunit ribosomal RNA", at positions 1564 to 2808 of the family's 2925-position model. The record is from RNAcentral.
UGAAUACGAGACGCUAAGGCGUCGAAGUAGUGUAUAUCAUACUUCCAAGAAAAGCUUGCAAUGUCAUAGAUAAAAAACGCCUGUACCAUAACCGACACAGGUGGGUAGGUAGAGUAUACUAAGGGGCGCGAGAUAACUCUCUCUAAGGAACUCGGCAAAAUAACUCCGUAACUUCGGGAGAAGGAGUGCCUUAUUCGUAAGGUUGCAAUAACAAGAUCCAAGCAACUGUUUAUCAAAAACACAGGUCUCCGCUAAGUCGCAAGACGAUGUAUGGGGGCUGACGCCUGCCCAGUGCCAGAAGGUUAAAGAAGUUGGUUAGCAAUUGCGAAGCUGAUAACUGAAGCCCUGGUGAACGGCGGCCGUAACUAUAACGGUCCUAAGGUAGCGAAAUUCCUUGUCGGGUAAGUUCCGACCCGCACGAAAGGCGUAAUGAUUUGGAUACUGUCUCGGAGAGGGGCUCGGUGAAAUAGACUUGUCUGUGAAGAUGCGGACUACCUGCACCAGGACAGAAAGACCCUAUGAAGCUUUACUGUAACUUGAAAUUGAAAUUGGACUUUAUUCGCGCAGUAUAGGUGGGAGGCGUUGAUUAUAAUCUUGCGGGAUUAUUGGAGCCAUCAGUGAGAUACCACUCUUGUAAUGUUAGAUUUCUAACUUUGAAUCAUUAUCUGGUCAAAGAACAGUUUCAGGCGGGCAGUUUGACUGGGGCGGUCGCCUCCUAAACGGUAACGGAGGCGUACAAAGGUUUCCUCUGAACGGUUAGAAAUCGUAUCUAGAGUGUAAAGGCAUAAGGAAGCUUGACUGUGAGACCUACAAGUCGAGCAGGGACGAAAGUCGGUCUUAGUGAUCUGACGGUACUGAGUGGAAAGGCCGUCACUCAACGGAUAAAAGUUACUCUAGGAUAACAGGCUGAUCUCCCCCAAGAGUUCACAUCGACGGGGAGGUUUGGCACCUCGAUGUCGGCUCAUCGCAUCCUGGGGCGGUAGUACGUCCCAAGGGUUGGGCUGUUCGCCCAUGAAAGCGGUACGCGAGCUGGGUUCAGAACGUCGUGAGACAGUUCGGUCCAUAUCCGGUGUAGGCGUUAGAAUAUUGAGAGGAGCCUUCUUUAGUACGAGAGGACCGAGAAGGACAUACCUCUGGUGUACCAGUUAUCGUGCCAACGGUAAACGCUGGGUAGCUAUGUAUGGAGUGGAUAACCGCUGAAAGCAUCUAAGUGGGAAGCCCACCUCAAGAUAAG